CAGCCGCCGCGGGAAUACGAAGGGGGCUAGCGUUAAUCGGAAUUACUGGGCGUAAAGCGUGCGCAGGCGGUUUGUUAAGACAGAUGUGAAAUCCCCGGGCUCAACCUGGGAACUGCAUUUGUGACUGGCAAGCUAGAGUAUGGCAGAGGGGGGUGGAAUUCCGCGUGUAGCAGUGAAAUGCGUAGAUAUGCGGAGGAACACCGAUGGCGAAGGCAGCCCACUGGGCCAACACUGACGCUCACGCACGAAAGCGUGGGGAGCAAACAGGAUUAGAUACCCCUGUAGUCCCUGUCUCUUAUAC
RNAcentral lists this ribosomal RNA (301 nucleotides) under uncultured bacterium. Its description in RNAcentral is "partial 16S ribosomal RNA". It matches the Rfam family "Bacterial small subunit ribosomal RNA", at positions 509 to 807 of the family's 1533-position model. The record is from RNAcentral.